Molecule: ribosomal RNA, 165 nt
Filed under: Excentrodendron hsienmu
Lineage: Eukaryota; Viridiplantae; Streptophyta; Magnoliopsida; Malvales; Malvaceae
Description: 5.8S ribosomal RNA
Rfam family: 5.8S ribosomal RNA
About the family: 5.8S ribosomal RNA (5.8S rRNA) is a component of the large subunit of the eukaryotic ribosome. It is transcribed by RNA polymerase I as part of the 45S precursor that also contains 18S and 28S rRNA.
Source: RNAcentral
AAACGACUCUCGGCAACGGAUAUCUCGGCUCUCGCAUCGAUGAAGAACGUAGCGAAAUGCGAUACUUGGUGUGAAUUGCAGAAUCCCGUGAACCAUCGAGUCUUUGAACGCAAGUUGCGCCCCAAGCCAUUAGGCCGAGGGCACGCCUGCCUGGGUGUCACGCAU